UUGCACGCUGGCGGCAUGCCUUACACCUGCCAGUCGAACGGUAACAGGUCUUCGGAUGCUGACGAGUGGCGAACGGGUGAGUAAUACAUCGGAACGUGCCCGAUCGUGGGGGAUAACGAGGCGAAAGCUUUGCUAAUACCGCAUACGAUCUACGGAUGAAAGCGGGGGAUCUUCGGACCUCGCGCGGACGGAGCGGCCGAUGGCAGAUUAGGUAGUUGGUGGGAUAAAAGCUUACCAAGCCGACGAUCUGUAGCUGGUCUGAGAGGAUGAUCAGCCACACUGGGACUGAGACACGGCCCAGACUCCUACGGGAGGCAGCAGUGGGGAAUUUUGGACAGUGGGCGAAAGCCUGAUCCAGCCAUGCCGCGUGCAGGAUGAAGGCCUUCGGGUUGUAAACUGCUUUUGUACGGAACGAAAAGCCUCUUUCUAAUAAAGAGGGGUCAUGACGGUACCGUAAGAAUAAACACCGGCUAACUACGU
This 480-nucleotide ribosomal RNA is filed under the name uncultured bacterium. RNAcentral describes it as "partial 16S ribosomal RNA". It matches the Rfam family "Bacterial small subunit ribosomal RNA", at positions 30 to 506 of the family's 1533-position model. The record is from RNAcentral.